Molecule: ribosomal RNA, 132 nt
Filed under: uncultured Acidobacteriota bacterium
Lineage: Bacteria; Pseudomonadati; Acidobacteriota
Description: uncultured Acidobacteria bacterium partial 16S ribosomal RNA
Source: RNAcentral
GUCCCAGUGUGUCCGUCCGCCCUCUCAGGCCGGAUACUGAUCGUUGCCUUGGUGAGCCGUUACCUCACCAACUAGCUAAUCAGCCGCGACCCCCUCCUCAAGAGCCAGGACUUGCGAUCCCCGGCUUUGAUC